GUAAUAUAAGAAUUCGUCUCUUAACUUUUAACUAAAAAAGCUAAAAACCAGCUCUUAAAUAAGAGUUUUAAAAAACCGGUUCUUAACUUUUUUAGUUAAAAGUUAAGAGAUAGAUUUUUAUAUUCC
Molecule: non-coding RNA, 126 nt
Organism: Brassica napus (rape)
Lineage: Eukaryota; Viridiplantae; Streptophyta; Magnoliopsida; Brassicales; Brassicaceae
Source: Rfam